AAAGCAUCAGUCUCUUCUAAAACAGUAGAAACACACGAGAGAGCAAACUGAGGCGGCUGAGAGCAAAAUCAAAGACACACGAUGAGGGUUUUCAAGAACAAGAGCAAAAAUCAGUAGCCAACGUGAAUCUAAGGGUGCUUUCACCGCUUUUGAUGAUAUGUUAAGCUCUGUUUCUUCUUAAUUAACAUUGUCAUUGCUUGUACGGAUAGCUAAAUCAAGUUCAGGCUGUUGAAAAGGGUCGAGACCCAACACCAAGUGAGAUACAUUUGUACGUCCAUACACAUGGGCAUGAUGGAAAAUCUUUUCUUGAUGAGAAAGUUCGAAUCGUGCAUGAAAGGUAUCAGAAAAUAUUGCAGGAACAAACACAAACUCAAUAUGAUAUUGAUCAAUGUAAAGCAUAUUAUGAAGCCGCGAGAGGGGAAAGAAGAGAAGAGUAUAUGGUCUUGGAUCUCAAGCAAAAUGCUACUAUAGACCGAAUCUUGAACUUUAUUGUUGGUGUUAGGGAUAAUUCGAACCUUUUUUGGCUUGAACUUUAUUAUUGGUGUUAGGGAUAAUUUGAUCAUAAUUGUAUUAGCUAUAUGGAUUUUGAUAUCAUUAUUGAC
Nicotiana tabacum (common tobacco) is the source of this 602-nucleotide non-coding RNA. The record is from RefSeq and is a predicted model, not a curated record. NCBI's taxonomy places the organism in Eukaryota, Viridiplantae, Streptophyta, Magnoliopsida, Solanales, Solanaceae.